AAAACAAAAAGUAUUCGUUUCGAUGAAUAAAUUAACAUAAUAUUAUUCGGUACCUAUACACCUAUUAUGAUACCAUGUAUACUGUUUAAUGAUUUUUGCACCGUAAUUAUUACAGUAUUAUUAUGUCAUUAUUGAUAAUCUCAUCAAUGGUCGUACCAAAGUAAAAAUCGCACCUGAUCGAACUUGUUACGUUAUACGUUAAUA
Molecule: non-coding RNA, 204 nt
Organism: Cinara cedri
Lineage: Eukaryota; Metazoa; Arthropoda; Insecta; Hemiptera; Aphididae
Source: the annotation of a GenBank genome assembly